GAUGAACGCUAGCGGCAGGCUUAAUACAUGCAAGUCGAGGGGGUAACACGGGUAGCAAUAUCUGGUGACGACCGGCAAACGGGUGCGCAACACGUACAGAACCUUCCUUUAAGCGGGGGAUAGCCCGGAGAAAUCCGGAUUAAUACCCCAUAGUAUUGUUUAAUGGCAUCAUUAGAUAAUUAAAGAUUUAUCACUUAAAGAUGGCUGUGCGUCUGAUUAGGUAGUUGGUUGAGGAAAGGCUCACCAAGCCUUCGAUCAGUAACUGGUGUGAGAGCACGACCAGUCACACGGGCACUGAGACACGGGCCCGACUCCUACGGGAGGCAGCAGUAAGGAAUAUUGGUCAAUGGAGGCAACUCUGAACCAGCCAUGCCGCGUGAAGGAU
RNAcentral lists this ribosomal RNA (385 nucleotides) under uncultured bacterium. RNAcentral's name for it is "bacterial SSU rRNA". It matches the Rfam family "Bacterial small subunit ribosomal RNA", at positions 28 to 409 of the family's 1533-position model. The record is from RNAcentral.